UACGAAGGGGGCUAGCGUUGUUCGGAAUUACUGGGCGUAAAGCGCACGUAGGCGGAUUGAUCAGUCAGGGGUGAAAUCCCAGGGCUCAACCCUGGAACUGCCUUUGAUACUGUCGAUCUGGAGUAUGGAAGAGGUGAGUGGAAUUCCGAGUGUAGAGGUGAAAUUCGUAGAUAUUGGGAAGAACACCAGUGGCGAAGGCGGCUCACUGGACCGGUACUGACGCUGAUGCGCGAAAGCGUGGGAAGCAAACAGG
This 253-nucleotide ribosomal RNA is filed under the name uncultured bacterium. RNAcentral describes it as "partial 16S ribosomal RNA". It matches the Rfam family "Bacterial small subunit ribosomal RNA", at positions 524 to 776 of the family's 1533-position model. The record is from RNAcentral.